This 231-nucleotide ribosomal RNA is filed under the name Xanthomonas cannabis. Its description in RNAcentral is "partial 23S ribosomal RNA". It matches the Rfam family "Bacterial large subunit ribosomal RNA", at positions 332 to 568 of the family's 2925-position model. The record is from RNAcentral. Lineage: Bacteria; Pseudomonadati; Pseudomonadota; Gammaproteobacteria; Lysobacterales; Lysobacteraceae.
GAAAAACAAUCUGGAAAGAUUGGCCAUAGAAGGUGAUAGCCCUGUAUUUAAAAGGGCCACUCCAGUGAAGACGAGUAGGGCGGGGCACGUGAAACCCUGUCUGAAUAUGGGGGGACCAUCCUCCAAGGCUAAAUACUCCUGACCGACCGAUAGUGAACCAGUACCGUGAGGGAAAGGCGAAAAGAACCCCGGAGAGGGGAGUGAAAUAGAUCCUGAAACCGUGUGCGUACA